AUAAAAUACAAAAUUUGUUUGGUCAAUGAAACAGGAAGUUAUGAACUUUUGAAGGAAGUUUUCAAAAUUUUAACGAAUUGAUCACAGGAACAGCUCGGAGUUAGGAAAUGAAUUGGUCAACAAUUUUCGGAACGCUUCUAUAUUGGCACGACUGUAAGCACAUAUGAAGCAGGGCUGAUGGAAUGGGGGAGGGGGUUGAGGACUGUAUCCCCCAAAAAAUACAUCAACAAUCUAAACUAAAUAAAUUUUACUCAAAUAUCUGUGAUAUUUAAAUAUCAGAAUAGCUAGAUAUUUCUUUCAAAAUAUAUUUCUUAUAAAUAGCUAGAUAUUUCUGUAACAAAUAAUUUCAUUAAUCGCAUGAAGAUAGACUCUGAAAAUGCCACUUUCCGAAGAUGGAAAGUACGGUCAUUCUACAGACAUUAAAUUUCAAAAAUUUCUCU
Molecule: non-coding RNA, 440 nt
Organism: Paramuricea clavata
Lineage: Eukaryota; Metazoa; Cnidaria; Anthozoa; Malacalcyonacea; Plexauridae
Source: the annotation of a GenBank genome assembly